CUGGUCCGCUGAGAGAGGAGCUUAUGGGUGGAGGAAGGCCAGUUGAGGGAGAAAACGCCGUUGAGUGGGGUAAACGCCUCUGCCGUGCUUCUUGGUCACUGGUGGGGGAGCCGCAUCGCCGUCACCCCUGGGCUGCUGUUCCUGCUGCCGUUGUUUUCUCGUUCUGUUAUUAUUGUCUAAUGGAGAUCGGAGAGGAGAGGAGGCGUUUAACCUUGUCAUUGUUGCUGCCAUGGAAAUAGGUGCUGGAAACUGCUAAUGGAGCAGCUGCGUUUAGUGAAUUUUCGACGGUUUCGGCUAGUCGAGUGACACAGGUUCGAAGACUCCGUUCGAAGCUGCGGGCGAUUGUUAAACCUU
This is a non-coding RNA of Arachis ipaensis, 354 nucleotides long. The record is from RefSeq and is a predicted model, not a curated record. Lineage: Eukaryota; Viridiplantae; Streptophyta; Magnoliopsida; Fabales; Fabaceae.